CCUACGGUGGCAGCAGUGGGGAAUAUUGGACAAUGGGCGAAAGCCUGAUCCAGCCAUGCCGCGUGUGUGAAGAAGGCCUUCGGGUUGUAAAGCACUUUCAGUGGGGAAGAAAGCCUUGGGGCUAAUACCCUCGAGGAAGGACAUCACCCACAGAAGAAGCACCGGCUAACUCCGUGCCAGCAGCCGCGGUAAUACGGAGGGUGCGAGCGUUAAUCGGAAUUACUGGGCGUAAAGCGCGCGUAGGCGGUCUGAUAAGCCGGUUGUGAAAGCCCCGGGCUCAACCUGGGAACGGCAUCCGGAACUGUCAGGCUAGAGUGCAGGAGAGGAAGGUAGAAUUCCCGGUGUAGCGGUGAAAUGCGUAGAGAUCGGGAGGAAUACCAGUGGCGAAGGCGGCCUUCUGGACUGACACUGACGCUGAGGUGCGAAAGCGUGGGUAGCAAACAGGAUUAGAUACCCAGUAGUC
This 463-nucleotide ribosomal RNA is filed under the name Vreelandella stevensii. RNAcentral's name for it is "partial 16S ribosomal RNA". It matches the Rfam family "Bacterial small subunit ribosomal RNA", at positions 338 to 795 of the family's 1533-position model. Lineage: Bacteria; Pseudomonadati; Pseudomonadota; Gammaproteobacteria; Oceanospirillales; Halomonadaceae. The record is from RNAcentral.